AUUUAUCCCAGAGAAAUAGACUUAUGUUUGCAUUAAAAUCUGUGCAUGAAUAUUUAUAGUGGCUUUUCUCAUAGUCAUCAAAAAGUGGAAACAGCCCAGACUCCCCUCAACAGGUGAGUGGUUCGACUGUGAUAUUCUUAUACCACGACACUGCUCAGAAAUAAGAAGGGAUGAACUAUUGUUACACACAAUAACCAGAAUUAAUCACCAGAGUAUGGUGCUGAGUGAAAAGGUCAAUCUUCAAAAGUUACAUACUAUAUGAUUUCAUUUGUAUAGCAGCGUGGAAAUGACAAACUUAUAGAAAUGUAGAACAGAUUAGUGGUUGCCACAGUUUGAAGAGGCAGGAAGAGGAGGUGGCUAUAAAAAAGCAACAGCAGUGAUCCUUGUGAUGAUGCUAGCCUUCUGAAUCUUAACUGAAUCUUGACAAUGUCAAUAUCCCAUUUAUGAUAUACUGCUUUUCUGGAUGUUUCCAUUAGAGAAAACUUGGUAAAGGACAUGAGAUCUGUCUGUGUUAUUUCUUAUAACUGCAUGUGAAUCUAUAAUUCUCAAAAUAAAAAGUUCUGUUUUAAUGCCUGUAAUCCCAGCACUUUGGGAGGCUGAGGUGGGUGGAUCACGAGGUCAGGA
RNAcentral lists this long non-coding RNA (624 nucleotides) under Homo sapiens (human). Its description in RNAcentral is "HSALNT0016093". The record is from RNAcentral. Lineage: Eukaryota; Metazoa; Chordata; Mammalia; Primates; Hominidae.